GAAAUGCGAUAAGUAAUGUGAAUUGCAGAAUUCAGUGAAUCAUCGAAUCUUUGAACGCACCUUGCGCUCCUUGGUAUUCCGAGGAGCACGCCUGUUUGAGUGUCGUGUAAUUCUCAACCUUACCUGUCUUUGCGGAYGGUUGUAAGGUUGGAUGUUGGAGGUCUAUUGUCGGUUUGUAACGAACCGGCUCCUCUCAAAUGCAUUAGCUCUGUCCUUUGUGGAUCGGCUCCCAGUGUGAUAAUUAUCUGCGCUGCGACCGUGAAGCGUUUUAUUAUGGCGAGCUUCUAAUGGUCUCUUCAAUGAGACAAGUAACACUUUGACAAUCUGACCUCAAAUCAGGCGGGACUACCCGCUGAACUUAA
Molecule: ribosomal RNA, 362 nt
Filed under: Neofavolus aff. alveolaris 249-539
Lineage: Eukaryota; Fungi; Basidiomycota; Agaricomycetes; Polyporales; Polyporaceae
Description: eukaryotic LSU rRNA
Rfam family: 5.8S ribosomal RNA (bases 1-105)
Source: RNAcentral